Orcinus orca (killer whale) is the source of this 4641-nucleotide long non-coding RNA. RefSeq lists it as uncharacterized. The transcript is spliced from 2 exons. NCBI's taxonomy places the organism in Eukaryota, Metazoa, Chordata, Mammalia, Artiodactyla, Delphinidae. The record is from RefSeq and is a predicted model, not a curated record.
CACAGCGACUGACGCGGGCUGGUAUAUAAAUACCCCAGCUCCCCUGCCCUCAGCUGGGCCAGGAUAAAAGCCAAGGAGCUAGGAGGAGCUGUUGGGUUCUGGAUCAUUUUGCAGGCAGAGCCCAUAGGACUUGCCGAUGGAUUGGAUGUGGGUGGGAGAGAGUGAGGGGUCAAGGGGACCUCCAAGGCUUGGGGCCUCAGCCACUGGCUGCUGGGAGGGCUCCUUACAGAGAACAUAUAUAAUCCUCACCAUAGUUCUCUUUUCGUGUUUUUCUUUUUCUUUUUUUUUCUUUUUUUCUCAGGUGAAAGACUCUGAGGUCUGGGGGUGCUUAGGGCCAGGCCUCAUGGUCAGAGAGAGAGGCAUACCUGGGAUUUGAAUCUGAUGUCGUGAUGAGUGCUGGGAACCACCACACGGAGAUGAUUUCCAACUUCCGUGCAACAUGAAAAGGGAAAAAAACUUCAGUCCAACCAGAGAGCUCACAGAAGGCUUCCUGGAGGAGGUGGUGCCUGAGCUAAGCCUUGCAGGAGGACAAAGAGCCCACCAGGUGUGGAAACAAGAAUCAAUAUGUAACAGCCACCUAGACUGGGCUGUUACUACGAGCCAAGCACCAUUCUAAACACAUGUUGACGAUAGCUUGUUAUCUUACUGGCUUGUUAUAUUGCGAAUGAGACCCAUGCUUGGGUGAAGUCAUUUAGUAGGGUGUAACCAGCAUUUAAAACAUGAAAUGAAAUAUAAUAGAAAAUAUCAGAAUGCAUUACUCAUAGCAAUAAUUGUUAUCUUAUGACACUUGUCUUUCAGUGACUGGUGGUGUGUGGAUAUACGGACAUACUGGGUCAUGAUAUGAAAUGCAAUUCUUACUGUGGGUCAUGAUUUUAAAAGCUCAGAAGCCACUGGAUUUACUCAUUUAAUCCUCACAACAACGCUAUGAGGUAGGUCUUAUUGUUAUCCCCCUUUUAAUGGGAAAACGAAAGCUCAAAGAGGUCAAGUCCCCUGAAAAACUCAUGGUGAACGUUUGCUUACUCUGUGCCAGGCACUGUUCUAGGCGUUUGGCGUGAACAGCUCAUUUGUUGUUCACAGCACUCUUACGAGGGAGAGUCUACAGUGACUCCAUUUACAGAGGAGGACGCUGAAACACACAAAUGGGAAGUCACUUUGCAAAGGCACAUGGCUAGUAAGCGAAGGAGCAGGGGUUUGAAUGCAGGCGGUUCCGGUUUCAGAGCCUGCACGAGCACCAGGCAGAGAACGGCACAGGCACAGGUGUGGAGGUGGGCUUUUAGAAGACCUGGCCUUCAAAUCACAGAUAUGUAGACUAAUGGACCUCAGCAGCCCUUACAUGUCCUGGUGGAGGUAAAAAAAAACCCGGUGCAGAAGCGCGGUUCCUAGCCGCCUCUCUCCACCUUUGCUUGUACCUGAGAGAUGUCGCAGGGCUAGAGAGGCAGCGUGGAAGGAGAUGAGCUCCUGGAUCACAGAGAGUGGUGCGAAUCCUAGCUUGGCCCUUUGCUUCUACGUGACCACAGGCUGUGGAUGUCACCUCUCCAAGCCUCAGUCUCCCCACUUGUGCAAGGGGGGUGGUGCUUAGAGCAUCUUGUUUCUCGUGCUGUUGUGAAAUCCCCCAGCGUUUGGUCCAUAGGGAGGGCUCAGUAAAUUGGAGCCACUCACUCAUGCUUCCCGUGUUUACGCUGGCUGGUCUCUCUGCACGAGCACUUUCCCCAACUCUUCACCUGGCACACUCCCGCUCAGGCUUCAGGUCCCAGCUCAGAUAUCCCCGCCUUUGGCAUCUCCCUCCAUCUUUUCUGCCCUUCUUCCUUUAGUCACAGAAUCCUACAUUUUAUCUAGGUAUAUGGUUGCCCAGGAUAAAGCCUACAUUUUCAGCUUCUCUUAUAGCUAAGUAUGACCAUGUGACUAGUUCCCAGCCAAUGGGAUGUGAGCAACCUCUGUGUUGGGCCAUAAGAGGAAGGCAUCCUCCCUCCCCUUCUCCUCUCCUGUUAUGUUGGUUGGAAUGCAAACGUGAUGGGAGCUCUCUUGGGUCCCCCAGGCAGGAUAGAACCUAGUGAGGACAGAACAAUUAGAAGGAGCCUGGGUCCCACCACCCUGAAGCCACCGCAUCAUCCCUACACUGUUCAUGCCAGACAACUACGUGAGAGAGAGAAAUUUCUAUCUUAUUUAAGACACUGUUGUUUUGGGUCUUUAUUAGCACACCAGAAUCUGAACCCUAACUAUUAUAGGACUGAACUGUGCUCCUACCCUCCCCGCCCCCACCACUCCAAAUUCAUAUGAAGUGCUAAUGCCCAGUACCUCAGAAUGGGACUGUAUUUGGUGAUAGGGCCUUUAAUGGGGCGGUGAGGGUGGGCCCUAAUACAAUCUGACUGAUGUCCUUAUAAAGAGAGACUAGGACACACAGGGAGACACCAGGGGUGCACACAAAGAAGGAAGGUCAUGUGAGGACACAGUGAGAAGGCAGUCAUCUGCAAGCCAAGGAGAGAGGCCUCAGAAGAAACCACGCCUGCCCACACCUUGAUCUUGGACUUCCAGCCUCCAGAACUGUGAGAAAUAGAUUUCUGUUUUUUAAGCCUCCCAGCAUGUGGUAUUUUGGAGUGGCAGCCCUAGUAGAUUAAUACGUCUCUAAACUACCUUCUAAGGACGAUGGCUCUGGUUAACCUCAGGGCUUGUUUUUUCUGGUUCAGGUGUGAAAGUGCAAGUCCAGAGCUGGAUAGCUCAUAAGAACAGAGGUGAGGGCUUCCCUGGUGGCGCAGUGGUUGAGAGUCCGCCUGCCGAUGCAGGGGACGCGGGUUCGUGCUCCGGUCCGGGAGGAUCCCACAUGCCGCGGAGCGGCUGGGCCCGUGAGCCAUGGCCGCUGAGCCUGCGCGUCCGGAGCCUGUGCUCCGCAAGGGGAGAGGCCCGCCUCCUGCAAAAAAACCCCGAAAAAGCAAACAAAAAAACCAGAGGUGAGUUCUGAAGGCUACCACCAGAGACCCUUGGCCUUCCCCAAGUGAUAAUGAACAAAUAUUUAAUGAAUAUCUGUUGGAAAGUGUGAUAGAUGACAAAGAAAUAGCCAGGAGACUUUGCAACUUUUCUCACCAAGAGGCGGAGCCUAGUUCCCUCCCGUUGGAGCAAAGCCGGUCAUGUGACUCGCUUUGGCCAAUAAAAACGUGGCAGAAGCGAUGGCGUGCGCGUUCUGAGCCGGGGCCUCGGGAGGCCUUGAAGCUUCUGCUCUUGUUUCUCAUCCUUUGCUGAGUGAACAAGCCUAGGCUAUCCUGCUGGAGGAUGAGAAGCCUCGUGGCCCAAUUACUCCCACUACGCCAGCUGCCAGCCAGGCCACUGCCAGACAUGGGAAGGAGGCCAUCCUGGACCAGUGCCUACGCAAUCCCUUCCCCCAACUGGCUGCAGAAACGCGAGGACAAGGGGUGAUAUUCACUGAGAUCUUAAAUCUCCACCCGGUUGCUGGUAGAAAAAUACGUGCGAAGAAACCAGACGUCAUCUGGACCUUCUUCUGCAAAGCAGGCCCUACCUACGCAGGGGAAAGGCCAGAAGUGGAUUUCCCCGUGGAUGUAGGAAGCUGAAGAGAAAAUGUCCCAGGGGUUUUGGGUUGUGGAUUCGUUUGCUCACCAUGGGAGCCUUCCCCCUUCUGACGUGCCUUCCAGUACCACAGCUAAAACUACACUUCCUCACUCCCCUUGAAGCCAUAUUUCUGUCAAUCUGACAUACUUGCAUGAGAUUUGGAAAGUGAAAGUGAAAUGGAGGUUCUGCUUAUGAUGCUUCUGCCAUGAAUUUUGGCAAGCACAGUCACGGACGGGCUGCUCUUUUUUUCCUGAGGUACCACAAGUGACUGGCUUUGUGCGUUUUGAGAGGCUCUCAUCUCUGUGAAUCCAGCAAAUGUGACGUGGUUCUGGAGCUGACAAUUCCAGUACAGGCCUACUCGUUUUAUUGCGCUUCAUAGAUAUUAUGUUUUUCACAAAUUGAAGGUUGACAGCCCUGUGUUGAGCAAGUCAAUUGGUGUCAUUUUCCAACAGCAUUUGCACACUUGUGUCUCUUGUGUCACAUUUUGGUAAUUCUCACAAUAUCUCAAACUUUCUCGUUAUUAUAUUUGUUAUGGAGAUCUGUGAUCGGUGAUCUUUGAUGUUGCUACUACAACUGGCUGAAGGCUCAGAUGAUGGUUAGCACUUUUUAGCAAUAAUGUAUUUUUAAAUUAAGGUGUGUGCAUUUUUUUUAGACAUAAUGCUAUUGCACACUUAAUAGACUCCAGUAUAGUGUAAACAUAACUUCUAUAUGCACUGGGAAACCAAGAAAUUCCUGUGACUUGCUUUAGUGUGAUAUUCCCUUUAUUACAAUGGUCUGGAACUGAACGUGUAAUAUCUGUAUGCCUGUAGUAACAGCUUUUUGAUUCCCCACCUUUCUGUGAUGGUGGAGGCAGCAGCUCCCGCGGUGGGUCAGUUCUGCAGUUUCAGUUCUGCGGUUGUGGGGUCUGAUAGAGUCAGCUUCCUUUACCUUUUCCAUCAGAGGGCACCCAGCUGUCUUUCUCUGGCAUGGGUCUAUCCCUUUCAGCCAAUUUAAAUUAAUCCAAUCUUAAGUCAAAUAAUAUGCACAAGAAUGUCACAGCACCAGAUCUAUCCUCCCGAUAUAUAUAAAACACAAGUGAAAUAG